Molecule: ribosomal RNA, 469 nt
Filed under: uncultured bacterium
Lineage: Bacteria
Description: partial 16S ribosomal RNA
Rfam family: Bacterial small subunit ribosomal RNA
Source: RNAcentral
GACGAACGCUGGCGGCGUGCUUAACACAUGCAAGUCGAACGAUGAAGCCUUAGCUUGCUUUGGUGGAUUAGUGGCGAACGGGUGAGUAACACGUGAGCAACGUGCCCAGGACUCUGGAAUAACCGCGGGAAACCGUGGCUAAUACCGGAUAGGUGCCGAGGCCGCAUGGUCUUCGGUUGGAAAGUUUUUGCGGUUCUGGAUCGGCUCACGGCCUAUCAGCUUGUUGGUGGGGUAAUGGCCUACCAAGGCGACGACGGGUAGCCGGCCUGAGAGGGUGACCGGCCACACUAGGACUGAGACACGGCCCAGAAUCCUACGGGAGGCAGCAGUGGGGAAUAUUGCGCAAUGGGCGCAAGCCUGAUGCAGCAACGCCGCGUGGGGGAUGACGGCCUUCGGGUUGUAAACCUCUUUUAGUAGGGAAGAAGCGCAAGUGACGGUACCUGCAGAAAAAGCACCGGCUAACUACGUG